RNAcentral lists this transfer RNA (76 nucleotides) under Oscillospiraceae bacterium. RNAcentral's name for it is "tRNA-Thr". It matches the Rfam family "tRNA". Rfam says of the family: Transfer RNA (tRNA) molecules are approximately 80 nucleotides in length. Lineage: Bacteria; Bacillati; Bacillota; Clostridia; Eubacteriales; Oscillospiraceae. The record is from RNAcentral.
GCUACCGUAGCUCAGCCGGUAGAGCAGCUGAUUCGUAAUCAGCAGGUCGAGAGUUCGAGUCUCUCCGGUAGCUCCA